ACGCACGCUGGCGGCGUGCUUAACCCAUGCAAGUCGAACGGAAAGGCCCUGCUUUUGUGGGGUGCUCGAGUGGCGAACGGGUGAGUAACACGUGAGUAACCUGCCCUUGACUUUGGGAUAACUUCAGGAAACUGGGGCUAAUACCGGAUAGGAGCUCCUGCUGCAUGGUGGGGGUUGGAAAGUUUCGGCGGUUGGGGAUGGACUCGCGGCUUAUCAGCUUGUUGGUGGGGUAGUGGCUUACCAAGGCUUUGACGGGUAGCCGGCCUGAGAGGGUGACCGGCCACAUUGGGACUGAGAUACGGCCCAGACUCCUACGGGAGGCAGCAGUGGGGAAUAUUGCACAAUGGGCGGAAGCCUGAUGCAGCAACGCCGCGUGCGGGAUGACGGCCUUCGGGUUGUAAACCGCUUUCGCCUGUGACGAAGCGUGAGUGACGGUAAUGGGUAAAGAAGCACCGGCUAACUACGU
RNAcentral lists this ribosomal RNA (466 nucleotides) under uncultured bacterium. RNAcentral describes it as "partial 16S ribosomal RNA". It matches the Rfam family "Bacterial small subunit ribosomal RNA", at positions 29 to 506 of the family's 1533-position model. The record is from RNAcentral.